GGUGUCCCCGCACCAUGAUCACCCCAGCGCCGCAUCAGGAGACCAGCAAACCCAUUGACCCCUUCACUUACGGUAAAAAAUUCAGAUGCAAAAAAUCAGACCCUGGACUGUCAGACCCCAGGGCGACAGGCAAGAGUCCCACUCCAGCUGGCACCGU
This is a long non-coding RNA of Candoia aspera, 157 nucleotides long. RefSeq lists it as uncharacterized. Lineage: Eukaryota; Metazoa; Chordata; Lepidosauria; Squamata; Candoiidae. The record is from RefSeq and is a predicted model, not a curated record. The transcript is spliced from 5 exons.